UCGGGAAUUUUGGGCAAUGGGCGAAAGCCUGACCCAGCAACGCCGCGUGAGGGGUGAAGUAUUUCGGUAUGUAAACCUCGAAAGAAUGGGAAGAAUAAAUGACGGUACCAUUUAUAAGCUCCGGCUAACUACGUGCCAGCAGCCGCGGUAAUACGUAGGGAGCAAGCGUUGUUCGGAUUUACUGGGCGUAAAGGGCGCGUAGGCGGCGCGGUAAGUCACUUGUGAAAUCUCUGAGCUUAACUCAGAACGGCCAAGUGAUACUGCUGUGCUAGAGUGCGGAAGAGGCAACCGGAAUUCUUGGUGUAGCGGUGAAAUGCGUAGAUAUCAAGAGGAACACCUGAGGCGAAGGCGGGUUGCUGGGCCGACACUGACGCUGAUGCGCGAAAGCCAGGGGAGCAAACG
This 402-nucleotide ribosomal RNA is filed under the name uncultured bacterium. RNAcentral describes it as "bacterial SSU rRNA". It matches the Rfam family "Bacterial small subunit ribosomal RNA", at positions 355 to 774 of the family's 1533-position model. The record is from RNAcentral.